AUGAUAUAUAAAAAAUUUUUUACCGGGUAUUGAUUUAUGAAUUGCAACAAUUCAUAAUUCGGGCCCCUAAAAAUCAUAAUCCGGCCCUGGCGAGGCGCGAAGAAGCCAAAACGAGCAAUCGAGCGAGCAUGCAAUCAAGAGAAAGUAGACACAUAUGUGUGGCGACAUGUAUGUACAAUACUUUCACACACAUGAACAGACGAAAAUAAUGCUGCCGUGCUAACAGAUUGUGGCGCCAUCUCUCGUAAGAUCCGGCAUCUACUUUUGUACGAAUUACUGCUCUUUUUUAUCAUCUCCAUCUGUAUUUGAGGCUAAAGUGGAAAAGUUUAAUAAUAGCCAAAAAUGGUUUGGCUGACUGGGAUAGAUUCUCUUUGUAAUUGGUAACCCAGUGAGCAUUGUGAUAUCAAAAAGAGCUCUUCAAGUAAUCAGGUUUGAGAGUUGGACUUCUGACAAUGCCAUCUUGAAGAUAACAUAAUGUCAAUAAGCUCUCUAAUGCGUCAAUAUUUGAUACAAAAAAGACAUCACAUAAAUGACAUCUAAAGGAAUACAAGAAUUUGAUAUCUUAUAAAUGUCAAGAAAAUGUUAACAUUAAGAAUUGCUAUUUACUAGUACUAUUUAUAUGAAAAAAGAUAAAAUAACCGAAUAUAUGUAUUACAUAUAUAAAAUUUUAUUACACGUACAUAUAGAAUAUAAUAUUAUAAUAUUAUAAAAUCAUUUUAGAAAUUACAUUUUAAUAAUACAAAAAUAAUUUUUUUAUAACAUACAAAACUAUAAUUUCAAAAAUAAUAGAAAAUACUGAAUUGGUGUAUGUAUACGACUCACAUAUAUACAUACAAAAAAUGAACAUGUUAUAUUAAAAUUUUAAUUUAAUUUGAAUAUAUUGCCAUAUUGCACACA
Long non-coding RNA from Ooceraea biroi (clonal raider ant), 897 nucleotides. RefSeq lists it as uncharacterized. The record is from RefSeq and is a predicted model, not a curated record. NCBI's taxonomy places the organism in Eukaryota, Metazoa, Arthropoda, Insecta, Hymenoptera, Formicidae.